ACUCGUAGGAAUGUCCAUCACUUAAUUAGCACAUCCUUCAACUCAGUUCUUGGCCGGAGGGUGGUAGAUCGGAGUCGGGGACCCAUACGUGGGCGUGGGUGAACUGUAUUUAGGCGUUGGGGGGUGGUAUUCUGGCUGAGGUUUGGGCUCCGGCUUUGGCUUAGGAGGCACUGGUUUCUUGUGGAAGUGGUCAAAGAAGUGGUGGUGCUCAUGAUCCUUGUGGAAGUGGUCAAGCCAGUGCUUCUUGUCGAACAAGUCUUUAGCAGGAGGAUGGUAGAUUGGAGUAGGAGACCCAUAUGUAGGUGUUGGGGGGUGGUACUCUGGCUGCGGCUUGGGCUCUGGCUUCGGCGGAAUAGGCUUCUUGUGGAAGUGGUCGAAGAGUUGGUGGUGGUCGUGGUCCUUGUGGAAGUGACCAAGCAACUUGGCAAACAAGUGCCUAGCUGGAGGGUGGUAGAUUGGUGUAGGAGACCCGUAUGUGGGUGUUGGCGACCCAUAUGUUGGCGUUGGGGGAUGGUACUCUGGCUGAGGCUUGGGCUCUGGUUUGGGCUGCGGCUUAGGUUCCGGCUUCGGCUUUGGCGGUAUGGGCUUCUUGUGGAAGUGGUCGAAGAAGUGGUGGUGGUCAUGGUCCUUGUGGAAGUGACCAAGCAACUUGGCAAACAAGUGCCUAGCUGGAGGGUGGUAGAUCGGUGUCGGAGACCCGUAUGUUGGUGUUGGGGGAUGGUACUCUGGCUGAGGCUUAGGCUCUGGCUUCGGCUGCGGCUUAGGUUCCGGCUUCGGCUUCGGCGGCAUGGGCUUCUUGUGGAAAUGGUCAAAGAAGUGGUGGUGGUCGUGGUUCUUAUGGAAGUGAUCAAACAAGUGCUUCUUGUCGAACAACUGCCUUGCUGGAGGAUGGUAGAUCGGAGUUGGGGAUCCAUAUGUGGGCAUUGGUGAUCCAUACGUCGGU
This 943-nucleotide long non-coding RNA is filed under the name Setaria viridis. RNAcentral describes it as "long non-coding RNA (SVIR_LNC010905)". The record is from RNAcentral. Lineage: Eukaryota; Viridiplantae; Streptophyta; Magnoliopsida; Poales; Poaceae.